This 254-nucleotide ribosomal RNA is filed under the name uncultured bacterium. RNAcentral's name for it is "partial 16S ribosomal RNA". It matches the Rfam family "Bacterial small subunit ribosomal RNA", at positions 524 to 776 of the family's 1533-position model. The record is from RNAcentral.
GACGUAGGGCGCGAGCGUUGUCCGGAUUUAUUGGGCGUAAAGAGCUCGUAGGCGGCUUGUCGCGUCGACUGUGAAAACCCGUGGCUCAACCAUGUGGUCUGCAGUCGAUACGGGCAGGCUAGAAUUCGGUAGGGGAGACUGGAAUUCCUGGUGUAGCGGUGAAAUGCGCAGAUAUCAGGAGGAACACCGGUGGCGAAGGCAGAUCUCUGGGCCGUAACUGACGCUGAGGAGCGAAAGCAUGGGGAGCGAACAGG